Molecule: ribosomal RNA, 253 nt
Filed under: uncultured bacterium
Lineage: Bacteria
Description: partial 16S ribosomal RNA
Rfam family: Bacterial small subunit ribosomal RNA
Source: RNAcentral
UACGUAGGGUGCGAGCGUUAAUCGGAAUUACUGGGCGUAAAGCGUGCGCAGGCGGCGCGUUAAGACAGGUGUGAAAGCCCCGAGCUUAACUUGGGAAUUGCGCUUGUGACUGGCGUGCUGGAGUGUGGCAGAGGGAGGUGGAAUUCCACGUGUAGCAGUGAAAUGCGUAGAGAUCGGGUGGAACACCAGGGGCGAAGGCGGCAUCCUGGCUCUGUACUGACGCUGAGGCGCGAGAGCGUGGGGAGCAAACCGG